CCUACGGGCGGCAGCAGUGAGGAAUAUUGGUCAAUGGGCGCGAGCCUGAACCAGCCAAGUCGCGUGAGGGAAGACGGUCCUAUGGAUUGUAAACCUCUUUUGUCGGGGAGCAAAAGACGCCACGUGUGGCGUUCCGAGAGUACCCGAAGAAAAAGCAUCGGCUAACUCCGUGCCAGCAGCCGCGGUAAUACGGAGGAUGCGAGCGUUAUCCGGAUUUAUUGGGUUUAAAGGGUGCGCAGGCGGAAGCGCAAGUCAGCGGUAAAAUUGAGAGGCUCAACCUCUUCGAGCCGUUGAAACUGGUGUUCUUGAGUGAGCGAGAAGUAUGCGGAAUGCGUGGUGUAGCGGUGAAAUGCAUAGAUAUCACGCAGAACUCCGAUUGCGAAGGCAGCAUACCGGCGCUCAACUGACGCUCAUGCACGAAAGUGUGGGUAUCGAACAGGAUUAGAUACCCGAGUAGUC
RNAcentral lists this ribosomal RNA (459 nucleotides) under uncultured bacterium. RNAcentral describes it as "partial 16S ribosomal RNA". It matches the Rfam family "Bacterial small subunit ribosomal RNA", at positions 338 to 795 of the family's 1533-position model. The record is from RNAcentral.